This 468-nucleotide ribosomal RNA is filed under the name uncultured bacterium. Its description in RNAcentral is "partial 16S ribosomal RNA". It matches the Rfam family "Bacterial small subunit ribosomal RNA", at positions 28 to 507 of the family's 1533-position model. The record is from RNAcentral.
GACGAACGCUGGCGGCGUGCUUAACACAUGCAAGUCGAACGGAAAGGCCCUGCUUUUGUGGGGUGCUCGAGUGGCGAACGGGUGAGUAACACGUGAGUAACCUGCCCUUGACUUUGGGAUAACUUCAGGAAACUGGGGCUAAUACCGGAUAGGAGCUCCUGCUGCAUGGUGGGGGUUGGAAAGUUUCGGCGGUUGGGGAUGGACUCGCGGCUUAUCAGCUUGUUGGUGGGGUUGGGGCUUUCCAAGGUUUUGGGGGGUAGCCGGCCUGAGAGGGUGACCGGCCACAUUGGGACUGAGAUACGGCCCAGACUCCUACGGGAGGCAGCAGUGGGGAAUAUUGCACAGUGGGCGGAAGCCUGAUGCAGCAACGCCGCGUGCGGGAUGACGGCCUUCGGGUUGUAAACCGCUUUCGCCUGUGACGAAGCGUGAGUGACGGUAAUGGGUAAAGAAGCACCGGCUAACUACGUG